Molecule: ribosomal RNA, 331 nt
Filed under: uncultured bacterium
Lineage: Bacteria
Description: bacterial SSU rRNA
Rfam family: Bacterial small subunit ribosomal RNA
Source: RNAcentral
GACUAACGCUGGCGGCGUGCCUAAUACAUGCAAGUCGAACGGUCAUGCAUUUGUAGCAAUAUGAGUGCAUGGUAGUGGCGAACGGGUGAGUAACACGUGGAUAACCUACCUUUAUGUGGGGGAUAACUCCGGGAAACUGGGGCUAAUACCGCAUGACAUCAUUCUGGGGCAUCUCAGGAUGAUCAAAGUCGUAAGACGCAAAAAGAUGGAUCCGCGUCCCAUCAGCUAGUUGCGGGGUAAUGGCCCACCAAGGCUUUGACGGGUAGCCGGACUGAGAGGUCGAUCGGCCACACUGGAACUGAGACACGGUCCAGACUCCUACGGGAGGCAG